Molecule: long non-coding RNA, 373 nt
Organism: Lolium rigidum
Lineage: Eukaryota; Viridiplantae; Streptophyta; Magnoliopsida; Poales; Poaceae
Exons: 2
Source: RefSeq, a predicted model, not a curated record
GCAUGUUGGUAAUGUUUGAUCUGUUAAGUUUUGCGAGGAUAUGUGGUCUGCAAAUUCUCCUUUAGCUACACAAUACUAGGAUAUCUACUUUGUAUCUAACCAGCAAAUCCAAACUAUUUCUAAGCUUUAGGAUGGAACUGACAUUCAAGGCAACUAGAAGGACUGGCACGGCGGCACGGCGUGCCCUGGAGGAAGCAGUUCAUCACUCGUUGGCGUUGUGUUCAUCUUCGGAUGAGAGGAUAACAACAUCACCAGCUGUGCCCUCAAGUUCUUCGUCUUCUAGGAUUUAUUGUCUAACCAUAGCCCUUCUUACAUUAAACUUGCCAUACCUGAUCAUUCUUGCCACGUAUUCUAAACUAAACAUUUUUGAAAA